UAGGAUCGCACGAAUCCAGUUCGGGCUUUGGUAACCCCGUCGUUUCAUCUGUCACCGAUGGCUCGCCACGUCGAGGGCCGUUCUUUUUGGAUUCGGAAGAGAUCGUAGCAAGGCGUGGUUGUUUCCUUUUCCCAACGGCCUGGUGCCGUCUGAGUCUACCUAUAUCGCGGUUUAAGCCGCCUAAUCGUAAGUAGCUCGUCGAUUCCUUCAUUAUUUUGUAUGGGUUUGUUAGUGCAGUGCUGAUUGUUUUUAUAUUAUUGCAGCUCGUUGGAUGUGAAUCGUCCUGUGCAGUUGAAGCCCCGGGUGCAUUGAAAUUAUGCAAGUCCUUUCCUACGCCCGCUUAUUGUCUGCCCCGGGGUUUCAAGAUUUACCGUCUUUAUUACAAGUGUACGGUGUGGCCUCAAGAUGCCAGCUUCUGCAAACCGAGCUACCAGUGGCAGGGAGCUGUGUUUGGCGUUUCCCUACUUCCACGUCGAGGUUCCUGGUCAACGUGGCGGUUGUAUUGUUUACGGUCUCUCGAAGUUUUGGAGGUUAGAUCGACCCUUUAUUUAAUAUUAAUUACUGAACCAGAGAUGCUGGUUCUGGCGCCCUCAUACCCCUUACUACCGCUUAAAUUUGUCCGUCAGUAGGCCGCUUCUACCAAAACAUUUUUAAAUAAGAGUUCGCUAUACCCAUAACUGUUCCCUCAACACUUAAAUAAGAGUCUGGUGCUCGUGUUAUUUAGAUAAGAGCUAGUUUACCUUAAGUUCCUGUUGUUAAGGCCCUUAAGGCUCUCCGGGUUAAUUUCAAAAUAAUUUGAAUAAAUGUUUUAACCAUA
Molecule: long non-coding RNA, 817 nt
Organism: Cydia splendana
Lineage: Eukaryota; Metazoa; Arthropoda; Insecta; Lepidoptera; Tortricidae
Exons: 2
Source: RefSeq, a predicted model, not a curated record